CCAACUCUUUUUGAAUGUAAUCUGCUAUGGAUUGAAUCUUGCAAACUGAGAGGUCAAAAAUCGAGGCCAUCAAUGUAUACAAAUCUGUUAAAAACAAUAAUAAAAAAAAAUCAAAAGAAAAAAAAGAAAAAAGUCUAAAGUAAAGUAAGGAUAGUUGGUAACGAUAUUAAUAAAUUCAAGAUUAACUAAUUCCCCGGCAACGGCGCCAAAAACUUGAUACGCGUAAAACCUAUGUAUGAAAAACUGCAAGUGUACAGUAUCGCGUUUUGUAGAAUAGUGAAUCCCAGAUAUCGAUCCACAGGGAAUUAAGUUCCUAAAUUUACCAAGUACCGUAAUUAUACUAUACUAAACUUUAUCUAGACGGAUGAAAGAAUGGGGGAUGAAAUGAACCUAAAAGGAAACAAAAAUAAAAACAACGGUCCGCCAGUAUAAGCGAGGAAUUCCGACGUGUGAUGGCUUCUAGGGUAAAAUCCACCAGUGUACUAUCGAUAAAGAUUUACAAAUCCGAAUAUAAUGUCAAUUCUAUAUUUGCUAACCCAGACACUAAAGUACCCUAACCCCCGUCUCCAGUGUAGUUAGAGUCUACCCACAGGUCCGAUGUCUCCGUUCAGAACCUGAUAUUAAGAGAGCAUUUAGGUCAAGUCCUUAAGGGCUACCCGAGGUGCAUCACGUCUCCGUUUCCACAACCCGAGCUAUGUUUUCCUAAAAUCAAACGAGAAAUCCUCUCUCGAGUUCAUUCCCAUUUACAAUCAAUUCAACUGUUGGCCAAACAAUCGAAAGCAUUUAAUACAGGAAAACAUAAACAUAAUCAAAGAAGGACAAAUAGAUCACAUAUCUGGAAAUCAAAAUCAAUAUAUACAAGGAUUCAUUUCCCUAAAAGAAAAUGCUCAGUUCAUUACAAACAUAGCAUCAAAAUGAAGAACACGAGAAAUCAUAAACUAAACUUAAAGAAAAGCUUAUGAAAAACCCGAGUCGAAACCCUCGUCAAAGCUUCCCGCGAAGAACUGGCGAAAACCGAAGAGAAAACCGAAGAAGAAGUCGAGAGAUAAUCGAGAAUUAUGUCUUGAUAUGUUGAGAUCUUCAAAAAUGAAAAAGAGACCUUUCUAUUUAUAGUAGGAAAUCAAAGAAAAAUAUCUUGUCUCGAAUUAUGUGCCCAGAUCGCGAUCUGGGCUUCUUGGAUCGCGAUCUGGCAGCCUUGGAAACUGCGCACCGCCUUUCCAGAUCGCGAUACGGGAAUGGUGGAUCGCAAUCUGGUUCUUGAUCAAAAAAUGUACUGUGAGACCCCCCAGAUCGCGAUCAAAGGAGGUUGGAUCGCGAUCUGGGUCCUGAUCAAGAAAGCGUUCUGUAAGACCCCCCAGAUUGCGAUCCAGAAAGGCUGGAUCGCGAUCUGGUCUUCUGCGCCAACUUAAAACACUGUUUCGACCCUUUUGUAGCCCGAAUUUGACAAUUUUUCAUUUCACAAACGUUGUAGAUCUUGAAGUUAGCUUGCUAAGGCCACUUGAAUCAUUUCAAUCGGAGUUCGUAUGCAAAAGUUAUGCUUGAAAUACGAAACAGUACCACAACCCGCGAUAAUGCACUUUUGCACGUGUUUGGUUUGAUUUUCGGCUUCGCUUCCAAAAUCGUUUCGAAUCGGCAAAAAUAGCUUCACUUUACCUAAAAUAUAAAUAAAACAAGAAACGCAUAAUAUGUACAAAUAAAGCCGAAAACUCGGACGAAUGAAGACCAAAACUCGAAGAUUCGAUAAGUAAAAGUUGUGCAAAAUGAACACUUAUCACGGGCUUAAGUUGGACCAGGCCCAACAGCUUAAGUUCGUUAGUCUUUCUUCGCUCAUUUCUCAUAACACAAUGAUUGGAAAACUAUAACAAUUAUAUUUUCGGAAUCAUUGAAACGUCCUCGUCAUUACGAAUGCCAAUUCUCGAUUUCCAAUUUCUAAAACUUGAAACCCUAAUUCAGUGGACCUGCUAAAUGUGGAAACGUCCCAAUUUAGAAAGUUCACUAAGAUGUUUGCCUAGUUCUUUCCUUUUCUUAUUCUCAUUCAUAAUUCCCAAUUACAAAUGUUGGACUCAAUCAUAUUAACUUCCAAUUAUGCAAAGAGCAAACAUUUUUAUCUUUGACCGUUUAUUCAAAGAACUCGAGUGCACGAGCAGUAUGACCCUCGAUGGUUCAGGUGUAAGCUAGCCGUGGGUCCCCAACUCUUUGUGGUUUAAACUCGUCCCUAGAGUUAUAAUUAUGAUAAAACUUGUUUCAACUGAAUCACCUAAAGAAUCAAGAUUGGCGUCUAGCAACUACGCAUCAUGAUUCCCUAGAUACAAAUGAAGUGCCUGCAAGAACCGUGUGAUAUAGUUAACGUACAGAACGAUACCUUCGAUACAUGUGUCCCGAUUGAACUAGAGUCAUUGGUUCAUCGAGACCUCCUUUGUAGUUCAAUAAUUGUGCGAUCGUUCUAAGUAUUGUAAUCGGUACGUGCAUGACUUAGAGAACCGAAUUCCCUAAUCAUCACUUAGUCACCUCUGGCCAGAGACUUAAAGAUUACAAACUAUGAGAACACACAGGAAAUCCAAGACUAUACUAGCGAUCGAAUCCCCGACUACAAUGCACAGAUCUCCCACUAGAUUUCGGACUGCACGAACACUGGCUCUUGGGGCGGUCCUCGGUGGAACUGAGGGACAGGUCACGAUACAACUGGUCCUCUAGUGAAGUCGCGGUGAUGUCUAGGUCUUAAGGACUAAUGGUGUACAACUAUAUCGUAGAUAUCUCUACUCGAUUAUUGAGAACCACUUAGAGAUUUUUAGGAUGAGGGAGUUCAAUGAACUCGUUAACUUACGAGCACCCACUUAUGUAUAGCCGAUAUCACAAUAACGUCAAUGAUGAGAUGUUGUAAACAUACACUAAGUGCUAGUCUCUUAAUGGGAAAGGCCAAUAUCCUCAUUGGUGGCGUAACCCUUCGACUAGGAACACGGUUUACCAGUUAUAACACUUAAGUAAAUAUCUCACGAUCCUAAUAGAUCAAUUAUAAGUAAUUGUAAUAAGUGUAAGGACUAUAUCUAUGUGUGUACAAGGGACAGAGAUAUAUAAUUCCAAUGUGUUUUAUCAUUACUACGUAAAAUGAUUAUUUAUUAAAAGAAUAAAUGAAAAUACCACCGCCACAAGUUGGCUUGUUGGUCACCUACUCUAACACCUGGAUGAUGUGGAUCCUUUUGUGAUAUCUUAAUGUUGUUGGCUUGCACUUCCUCCACUGUCCAUCUUCAAGAUUCUCUUCUGAUUUUAAUUUGUGUAUUUUUUGUACUUUUUUUUUGUGCAACUUUUAUCAGCUGAUUUGAAUGCUCUUGUGAUAUCUCCAUGUUAUUGGUUCCUCCACUCUCCAUCUUUAAGAUUUUCUUCUAAUUUUAAUUUUAUAUUUUUGUGUUUGCAACUUUUACUAGAUGAUGUGGAUCUAGGGAUUAGAAUUGAGCUGACCAUAUAUGCGGUCGUAUAGUUGCAUGAGAUGGAUUUAUCUCUCAGGCAGGAUUGAUUUAUGUGCAACAUCUGCGGGCGGGUCUCCGCCAGUUCUCGAUGGGACACGUCGCCGAUGCGUGAGGUGCGGGAGGAUUCCUUAUAUUUGACUGAGGAUUCUUGUCCUUAUAUCUUUUGUUGGUUGUGCCAAAGAAAUCUUACAAUAAAAUAUUCCAAGCUCUUUUUUAUUGUUUAUUUGCCAGAAGUGUUCACCUCCCAUUGAAUCAACCAUGGGUACAAAACUGAGAAAUAAAUAAUAACUGGAAAUUAAAAUCAUGAUUAGUUAUUCAAGAUAAGACAUUUACCGAUAUACACGUAUCUCACCCAAAAAAAAUAUAUUUAUAUGUACAUGUAAUUAUAGAGAAAUAGAUAUACCAAAGGGAUAAUAAACCUUUUUUUAGCAUUGCUAUUAAUAUUAUUUUAACACGGUAAACCAUUCGAAAAGGCCAAACCAACAUUUCAGAAAGCUAUAUGAGCAUGAAUAUUCAACAAUUUUCCAAAAGAAACCAUAUCGGCUGCACAAGACAAGCAAUUUGAAGCAGUUUCAAACAUGAGGUGAUUCUUAUAACCGAAAGAGCUAGACUUACGAACGCGUCUAAUUUUUUUAAUUCCUAAAAUUCCUAAUAUUGGAACACCAUUUCCGGUUAUGGUCUCCAAUAUUCUAAUUUCUAUUUGUUUUUUAUUCUAAAAAUGUUUGGAUUAGAAACAGUAAUUAUAAAUAAAAACUUCAUAACUUCCAAUUUUUUUAAUAUUUCAAAAUUAACUCAGGAAUUUUUUUUCCCAAAAAUAAAUGUAUAUAAUUAAUAAUAUUAUAUAUUACGUAUUUUACUUUUAUUCUAAAUUUGCAAUUCUUAAUAAUCGAUUAAUUGCCCAAUAACUUUUAAUGUCAAUUUAUAAGUUGUUUAUAAUAGUUAGGCUAAUUUUUUUCCAAAAAAAAAUCUAAUAUUUCCAAAACCAAAUUUAAAAAUUUAUAAGGGUGAUAAGAUUUCUAAAAUUCUGAAAUUUAUGAAGCUUCUAAAAUGGGGAAAAAAAUUCGAUUCCAAUAUUUUUAAAUCGGAAUUGGAAGUUAUUUUUCAUUUCCCAAAAAACAAUUAUAUAUAAUUAUAUAUCCGUAACAAAAUGAAUAAAAUUUUCACUUUCAAAGAAAAUGUUAAAAUUCAUAGGAAAAGGAAUAAAAUCUAUUCAGAUCUAUAAGAAAAAUUGAAGUAAUGAUAAAAGGAAUGCUCUUAUAGAGAUAUAAGAUCUUUUGGUUUUACAUUUUUAAUCUUACACCACAUCAUAAAUCCUUCCAAGAUAAACAAACGAUACAAAUAAAGAUAAACAAACGAUAAAAUUUAGAGUUUAUGUCUAAUAGUUGUGAUCAGAAGGACAGCUAAUCAUACUUGAAUUAUAUUGAUAUUGAUAAUUGACGCCAAAAACAAAUUAAGGUAAUGCGUUCAAUUGAAAAUGAAUGUGAGGUCACAAAUAAGUCGAAUUUAUCAAAAAUAGAUUGUAAGGAAUAAAUAAUUACCAGAUCUUUCCUGAACAUGCCUCCAAUGGGAAGAUUCCGGUCAACUGCUCCUCAAAAAGAGUCAAGACAAAGUGAUUGCUUAGGUUAUAAGCUCACUCUCUUAACGUAGUCUAAUUCAUUGAAUAAAUAGCGAAGCGCAAGUUGC
RNAcentral lists this long non-coding RNA (5147 nucleotides) under Erythranthe guttata (spotted monkey flower). Its description in RNAcentral is "long non-coding RNA (EGUT_LNC003148)". The record is from RNAcentral. Lineage: Eukaryota; Viridiplantae; Streptophyta; Magnoliopsida; Lamiales; Phrymaceae.